UGUCCAGUAGCACCUUAGAGACCAACUAAGUUUGUUCUGGGUAUAAGCUUUCAUAUCUGAAGAAGUGUGCAUGCACAAUACCCAGAACAAACUUAGUUGGUCUCUAAGGUGCUACUGGACA
Molecule: microRNA precursor, 121 nt
Filed under: Podarcis lilfordi (Lilford's wall lizard)
Lineage: Eukaryota; Metazoa; Chordata; Lepidosauria; Squamata; Lacertidae
Source: RNAcentral